GUAUCUGCAGAAUUAAUUACAAGUCUCACCUGACAAGCUUUUGCAGUUUUGCAGUGUCAUUCUUGACAGAAAAACAUACUUGUCACAUUCUUUUUAUUUCCAGAAAAACAUCUUUCAGAUGUAUGAGAAAUUGAUUGGAGCCUGUCUGGAAAACGGCAGCCACUGGACCUUGUUUGUAAGUUGCACAGAUUUUGCACUCUCUCUAGUGCAUGAUACUUUUCAGUGUCCCUCAUUAGGAAUUCUCAAGGCCCAAGCCUACCAUAUCCAUCUUUUUACAAAACAGUUUUGUGACAUACCCAAGAGGACCAUAGUCUAUAUGAAUUCAUUUGGCGAGUCGGAGGUCAGAAAAAGUGCGGUGUUGAAAAACUGGAGCUCAUUUGCUUCAGCAAGAGGCUGCGCUGGAGAGUGGACCUUGUCACAUGUGAGCCACCCACAUCAACAGGAUGGGAACUCAUGUGGAGUGCAUGUCAUAAUGAUCGAACUAGGAAGUGCAGUCAGUGCUGGUGUGUGAUUGCAGCCAAAGACCGGGUGCAGUGCCAGAAAUGUGGUGCAUACAAGCACAUGCGUUGUUCAAAGUCUGUUUGUGGCAUCUGUAUCUUCUGUGAGAGGCCGUAAAGCCAAACUGCCCGCAAUGAUUCUUGACAGGCCUAAGAAGGCCAAAACUAAAGUAACAGUGUUUAGUGUUCUGAGUGAAGAGGAGGCUGGGGAGCUAGCCCUCGGGUUUGCCGGAAGAUUGGCCUGCGAUGUCACAACAGACAUGGUCUGUAAAGGCAUCGACCAUUCAAGUGCUGAUAUGACAAAACAGACUCUUCUCAAAAUCCAACACAAUCUUAAACAUGAGCUGACUGAUUCCUCAACCUUCAGUUUGCUGACACACACCUUUGGCCCCGCUGCACUGGAUUCUGUCAUUUCAUUCCUGUGUGAAAAACUUGAUCUUGUUUCUUAAAUAAUGAAACCUUUUGUGACUUUUGUUUGUUCUGUAAAUCAGAAUCUUGAAAAUUGUUCAUUGUUGUUCUAAGUUUGUGUUAACUAUUUGGCAAAAAUGAUUGGUUCCUAAUCCAAACAGCAUAAUGACUGUUCUAACACAUAUCUUAAAAAUGCUACAAAGAAAGAAAAUUAUCACAUAUGUUUCAAUAUGAAUGUAAUUGUGUCACACUCGGUUUGUAGUAGCUUUCCUGUUUUAUUUUGAGUUUUGGUAUGUUUACACUGUUAUUUUUAUUUCCCGUGUGUUCGUCUUCCCUUAUUAGUUUUACUGUAUUUAAUUAGUCUGAUUUAAUAACUUAUAAUUAUUUACUUUCCAGUGUGUGUAUAUGCUCCUCGUUUGGAUUAUUGUUUGUUUGAGUUCUGCCUGUCUUUUCUAUUAAAGAUUUGGACUUUUGGACUAUUAGUGGACCUCGUAGGUUUUUAUUCUGUUCAAUUGGUAAUUGACUGGGUUUAAUUUAGUGGCCUGGAAAACAGGCCGGAGGGGUCUGGUCAUUUUAACCCCCUAAG
Molecule: long non-coding RNA, 1491 nt
Organism: Astatotilapia calliptera (eastern happy)
Lineage: Eukaryota; Metazoa; Chordata; Actinopteri; Cichliformes; Cichlidae
Source: Ensembl